UGCCUUUUCCUCAAACCUGCCGC
Molecule: non-coding RNA, 23 nt
Filed under: Rattus norvegicus (Norway rat)
Lineage: Eukaryota; Metazoa; Chordata; Mammalia; Rodentia; Muridae
Source: RNAcentral